GUCGUGCAGGGCGGCAAGGACACGGUCGAUGCGUUGAUCGCGCAUCCUGAUAUCUCGGCUGUCAGCUUUGUGGGUUCCACGCCGAUCGCACGUUAC
Molecule: transfer RNA, 96 nt
Filed under: Oxalicibacterium flavum
Lineage: Bacteria; Pseudomonadati; Pseudomonadota; Betaproteobacteria; Burkholderiales; Oxalobacteraceae
Description: tRNA-Ile
Source: RNAcentral